CUGACCGUAAACGAUGCCAACUAGCGAUCCGCCGGUGGCCUUCAGGCCCUGGUGGGGAGCUUCCCGGAAACGAAAGUCUUCCGGUUCCGGGGGAAGUAUGGUUGCAAAGCUGAAACUUAAAGGAAUUGACGGAAGGGCACCACCAGGAGUGGAGCCUGCGGCUUAAUUUGACUCAACACGGGAAAACUCACCCGGCCCGGACACCGUAAGGAUUGACAGAUUGAUAGCUUUUUCAUGAUUCGGUGGUUGGUGGUGCAUGGCCGUUCUUAGUUCGUGGAUCGAUUUGUCUGGUUUAUUCCGAUAACGAGCGAGACUCCAGCCUACUAAAUAGUGCGGGCAUUGCCUUUGUGCUUGUCACUUCUUAGAGGGAUUGGCUGCGUCUAGCGGCACGAAACGGAGCAAUAACAGGUCUGUGAUGCCCUUAGAUGUCCGGGGCUGCACGCGCGCUACACUGGCAAAGGCAGCGUGCUUGUCCGUCUCCGAAAGGAGCCGGUAAACCCUUGAAAAUUUGCCGUGAUUGGGAUCGGAAAUUGCAAUUAUUUUCCGUGAACGAGGAAUUCCUAGUAAGUGCGAGUCAUCAGCUCGCGUUG
Molecule: ribosomal RNA, 590 nt
Filed under: Criconemoides sp. m XZ-2021
Lineage: Eukaryota; Metazoa; Nematoda; Chromadorea; Rhabditida; Criconematidae
Description: SSU rRNA
Rfam family: Eukaryotic small subunit ribosomal RNA
Source: RNAcentral